GAUGAACGCUGGCGGCGUGCUCAACACAUGCAAGUCGAACGAUGAAGCCCAGCUUGCUGGGUGGAUUAGUGGCGAACGGGUGAGUAACACGUGAGUAACCUGCCCUUAACUCUGGGAUAAGCCUGGGAAACUGGGUCUAAUACCGGAUAGGAGCGUCCACCGCAUGGUGGGUGUUGGAAAGAUUUAUCGGUUUUGGAUGGACUCGCGGCCUAUCAGCUUGUUGGUGAGGUAAUGGCUCACCAAGGCGACGACGGGUAGCCGGCCUGAGAGGGUGACCGGCCACACUGGGACUGAGAGACGGCCCAGACUCCUACGGGAGGCAGCAGUGGGGAAUAUUGCACAAUGGGCGAAAGCCUGAUGCAGCGACGCCGCGUGAGGGAUGACGGCCUUCGGGUUGUAAACCUCUUUCAGUAGGGAAGAAGCGAAAGUGACGGUACCUGCAGAAGAAGCACCGGCUAACUACGUG
RNAcentral lists this ribosomal RNA (466 nucleotides) under uncultured bacterium. RNAcentral describes it as "partial 16S ribosomal RNA". It matches the Rfam family "Bacterial small subunit ribosomal RNA", at positions 28 to 507 of the family's 1533-position model. The record is from RNAcentral.